CUGCUGCCUUCCGUAGGAGUUUGGACCGUGUCUCAGUUCCAAUGUGGGGGACCUUCCUCUCAGAACCCCUAUCCAUCGAAGACUAGGUGGGCCGUUACCCCGCCUACUAUCUAAUGGAACGCAUCCCCAUCGUCUACCGGAAUACCUUUAAUCAUGUGAACAUGCGGACUCAUGAUGCCAUCUUGUAUUAAUCUUCCUUUCAGAAGGCUGUCCAAGAGUAGACGGCAGGUUGGAUACGUGUUACUCACCCGUGCG
RNAcentral lists this ribosomal RNA (255 nucleotides) under uncultured bacterium. RNAcentral describes it as "partial 16S ribosomal RNA". The record is from RNAcentral.